UCAAGAUGGAACUCUUUUGAACUGCAAGA
RNAcentral lists this non-coding RNA (29 nucleotides) under Rattus norvegicus (Norway rat). The record is from RNAcentral. Lineage: Eukaryota; Metazoa; Chordata; Mammalia; Rodentia; Muridae.